GACGAACGCUGGCGGCGUGCUUAACACAUGCAAGUCGAGCGGUAAGGCCCUUUCGGGGGUACACGAGCGGCGAACGGGUGAGUAACACGUGGGUGACCUGCCCUUAGCUCUGGGAUAAGCCUGGGAAACUGGGUCUAAUACCGGAUAUGACUCCAUGACGCAUGUUGUGGGGUGGAAAGCCUUGUGCGGCUAGGGAUGGGGCCCGCGGCCUAUCAGCUUGUUGGUGGGGUGANGGCCUACCAAGGCGACGACGGGUAGCCGGCCUGAGAGGGCGACCGGCCACACUGGGACUGAGACACGGCCCAGACUCCUACGGGAGGCAGCAGUGGGGAAUCUUGCGCAAUGGGCGAAAGACCUGACGCAGCGACGCCGCGUGGGGA
RNAcentral lists this ribosomal RNA (380 nucleotides) under uncultured bacterium. RNAcentral's name for it is "bacterial SSU rRNA". It matches the Rfam family "Bacterial small subunit ribosomal RNA", at positions 28 to 407 of the family's 1533-position model. The record is from RNAcentral.